AAUACAAAUUACCUGAAGAGCAAUGGAAUAUCAUUUCACCUAAAGUUAUGGGUUUUGCUAGAACUUUCAGUUGUGCAAAUCAUAAGGCUACAAUAGCCCAUGGCACUUCAAAUAUUGGGACAGUUUCUUCUCAAUCAGUAGUUGAAAAGUAUAGAAGAAAGAGGGUGAAACCCCAAAGAUUUUAUUCAUCAACAGAUGAUGAACUUGAAAUGCCAAAGGGUGGGAGCAAAAAGAAAAUGUUCCAUGUCCCAAUUUCUUCUUUUUUAAAAG
Argiope bruennichi is the source of this 270-nucleotide long non-coding RNA. RefSeq lists it as uncharacterized. The transcript has 2 exons. NCBI's taxonomy places the organism in Eukaryota, Metazoa, Arthropoda, Arachnida, Araneae, Araneidae. The record is from RefSeq and is a predicted model, not a curated record.